ACACAUGCAAGUCGAACGGUAACAGGUUAAGCUGACGAGUGGCGAACGGGUGAGUAAUGUAUCGGAACGUGCCCAGUCGUGGGGAAUAACUGCUCGAAAGAGCAGCUAAUACCGCAUACGACCUGAGGGUGAAAGCGGGGGAUCGCAAGACCUCGCGCGAUUGGAGCGGCCGAUAUCAGAUUAGGUAGUUGGUGGGGUAAAGGCUCACCAAGCCAACGAUCUGUAGCUGGUCUGAGAGGACGACCAGCCACACUGGGACUGAGACACGGCCCAGACUCCUACGGGAGGCAGCAGUGGGGAAUUUUGGACAAUGGACGCAAGUCUGAUCCAGCCAUGCCGCGUGCGGGAAGAAGGCCUUCGGGUUGUAAACCGCUUUUGUCAGGGAAGAAAAGGUUCUGGUUAAUACCUGGGACUCAUGACGGUACCUGAAGAAUAAGCACCGGCUAACUACGUGCCAGCAGCCGCGGUAAUACGUAGGGUGCAAGCGUUAAUCGGAAUUACUGGGCGUAAAGCGUGCGCAGGCGGUUAUGCAAGACAGAGGUGAAAUCCCCGGGCUCAACCUGGGAACUGCCUUUGUGACUGCAUAGCUAGAGUACGGUAGAGGGGGAUGGAAUUCCGCGUGUAGCAGUGAAAUG
This 635-nucleotide ribosomal RNA is filed under the name uncultured bacterium. Its description in RNAcentral is "bacterial SSU rRNA". It matches the Rfam family "Bacterial small subunit ribosomal RNA", at positions 51 to 688 of the family's 1533-position model. The record is from RNAcentral.